Molecule: ribosomal RNA, 948 nt
Filed under: uncultured bacterium
Lineage: Bacteria
Description: bacterial SSU rRNA
Rfam family: Bacterial small subunit ribosomal RNA
Source: RNAcentral
GCCAUAAAAGUCAGAUGUGAANNNCUGGGNUCAACNGAGGUNNUGCAUUNGAAACUUUAUGGCUGAGUGCAGGAGAGGAGAGUGGAAUUCCCAGUGUAGCGGUGAAAUGCGUAGAUAUUGGGAGGAACNCCAGUGGCGAAGGCGACUCUCUGGACUGUAACUGACGCUGAGGCGCGAAAGCUGGGGGAGCGAACGGGAUUAGAUACCCCGGUAGUCCCAGCCGUAAACGAUGGGUACUAGGUGUAGGAGGGUCAACCUUCUGUGCCGCAGUAAACACAAUAAGUACCCCGCCUGGGGAGUAUGGUCGCAAGAUUGAAACUCAAAGGAAUUGACGGGGGCCCGCACAAGCAGCGGAGCAUGUGGUUUAAUUCGAAGCAACGCGAAGAACCUUACCAGGGCUUGACAUCCCUCGCAUAGCCAAGAGAUUGGUGAAGCCCUUCGGGGCGAGGAGACAGGUGGUGCAUGGUUGUCGUCAGCUCGUGUCGUGAGAUGUUGGGUUAAGUCCCGCAACGAGCGCAACCCCUGUUGCUAGUUGCUACCAUUUAGUUGAGCACUCUAGCGAGACUGCCGGAGACAAUUCGGAGGAAGGUGGGGAUGACGUCAAAUCAUCAUGCCCUUUAUGUCCUGGGCUACACACGUGCUACAAUGGCCGUAACAGAGGGCAGCGACUUGGUGACAAGAAGCUAAUCCCUUAAAAGCGGUCUUAGUUCGGAUUGCAGGCUGCAACUCGCCUGCAUGAAGUUGGAGUUGCUAGUAAUCGCAGGUCAGCAUACUGCGGUGAAUACGCUCUCGGGCCUUGUACACACCGCCCGUCACACCACGGGAGUUUGUUGCACCAGAAGUAGGUAGUCUAACCGCAAGGAGGACGCUUACCACGGUGUGGCCGAUGACUGGGGUGAAGUCGUAACAAGGUAGCCGUAGGGGAACCUGCGGCUGGAUCACCUCCUU